This is a long non-coding RNA of Oreochromis aureus, 2596 nucleotides long. The record is from Ensembl. NCBI's taxonomy places the organism in Eukaryota, Metazoa, Chordata, Actinopteri, Cichliformes, Cichlidae.
GGUUAUUUUUCAGCAGUUGGGCUCAGCCCCUUAUUUCAGUUAAAGGAACUCUUGAUACGUCAGCAUACCAAGACUGUCAUGGUCCUGGGUCAUUUUGACCCAGCGUUCUUUGUUUCCUUGUGUUUCUGUAGAAUGUUAAGUUCAUCUGUUGUUCUGGGAGUUAUUCUAUCGGUCCUAAGUUGUUUAGUUUAUCGGGUUUCCCCUCCUUGUUUUAUUCCCUGUUUCCCCAGCCCGUCAUGUCUGUGCUCUCCCUCAUGCGCUUCAAUGUUUUUCCCUCCCCCUCUGGUCUGCAUCUGUGUAUUUCCUGUUUUAUUGUGAAGUUCCGUGUCUUAUGUCAGUGUGUUCAGUUUACGUUUCCCCUGUCUCAUCAGCUCUGAUUGCUCCCAGCUGUAUUGCCUCCUGUUUCCCAUUCCCUGAUUGCUCCUGUCAGUAUAUAAGCUCUGUGUUUUCUCCUGCUUGUUGCUGGUCCAUCUGUGGCUGUAUCCCAAUUCAGGUUCUGCAGCCUUAAAGUACGCAGCCUUAACGGUCCUCAAGGGCCGCGUGCUCAAAGACCGCUAAGGCCGGAAGUGAGAGGCUUGUGAAAUGGGAUGGUCUAGCCUCCGUUGCGCUGCCCAGGUUGCCUAGCAACCAUGAUACUAACAGCUGGAAACGUUUCAUACAGCUUUGUUUGACAGAAAUGAAGGAGAACAUAUUUUGUUCAUUUGUUUCUACAUGAGCUCUGUGUGAUUUAAUAAGUAUCUGAGGCUGAGACCACAGGACUGUAAAACAUGAUUGUUGGCCUUCAUAUCUGUACUGAACAGUCAUUUUAAGAUUAGGCUAGUAAAUAACAAUUAGCCAAUGUUGUUCAUGAGACUAAAAUUGCCAAAUUCUUCACUUCGUCCAUGUAGGCCGAUGAGGCGGCAUACAUUUAAGUAAAGUGUAAAGUGUAAAGUGUGUUGUGUUAGUCCCCGAAGGGAAAUUACUCCUCUGCAUUUAACCCAUUCACCCAGUGAAGCAGUGGGCAGCCACCAGUGCAGCGCCCGGGGAGCAGUGUGUAGGGGCGGUACCUUGCUCAGGGGUACCUCAGGGUAGCCGUUCAGUGGGGUCGAACCCCCGGCCUUCCGAUCAUGGGGCAGACACUCUACCUACUGAGCUAUCCCUGCCCUGAAACUGGACGAAGUGAAGAAUUUGGCAUCAUGGUGCCAGGACAACCACCUCCAGCUGAACAUCAGCAAGACCAAGGAGCUGGUGGUGGACUUCAGAAGGAGUCAGCACAGAGACUACAAGCCCAUUUUCAUCAAUGGAGCUCCAGUGGAGAGGGUGCAGUCCUUCAAAUAUCUUGGUGUCCACAUCUCCUCAGACCUGACAUGGGCUGCCCACAUUCAGGUCCAGACCAAGAAGGCUAGGCAGCGCCUGUAUCACCUCCGACAACUAAGGAAGUUCAGGGUCUCUCCAAAGAUCCUCAGGAUCUUCUAUACAGGCGCUGUGGAGAGCAUCCUCACACAGAACAUGACAGCGUGGUUCGGGAACAGCUGUGUGAAGGACCAAAAGGCUCUCCAGAGAGUGAUCCAUACAGCAGAACGCUGCUGCAGGAUUGCUCUCCCCCCGCUUCAGGACACCUACACCAGGAGAUGCCGGACUAGAGCAACGCAGAUACUGAAGGACCCGUCCCAUCCUGCACUGUAAAAUCUAAAUCAGCAACUUAUGUGAACUUGACAAUGUGGGUAAGUUGAGCACAGCAGGAUUCAAAACUGCCUCACGUGACUGCUACCGAGGUGCAUCAUGGGGAAUUGGCGGUUAACGACAUGCUCACUUUACUUGGACGUUUUCUAAUCGUCUUCUUUGGAAUAUGCUUUCAAGGUGAGUAACAUUGGUUAUAACUAUAAGGAAAGAGAGCUACAAAAGUUGGAACAUGUUUUGAAUUUAUGGCAUGACGUGUGUUUUUCUCUUUUACCGAAAUGUUUGCUUUAGCUAAUGUAACUUUAGCCGACAAGGUCCAGCUUGUAUGUCAUGACCAAACUUGACCUAAUAAACUGACAUAUGGCCUUUUUUAUGGGUUUAAUGUGGCACUGACCAAAUCACAAGUAUUGUGCCGCUAGCUUUAAGGUUGUGCACUCAACCACUGUUGCGAUAUUAGCAAGCUAACUCAGCUAAUUAAUAAAGCUUAUUUCAUAUUGUCUCUGUACUUGUAAAUUUCUUUCAAGUUCACAGGCUGUUGUAUUUUGGUGGAAGUUCAUUUUGGCAAUAUUUCCAAUAACUGACUGGGUUCAAAAAGAACUUUUUGGCAGGACUCGGAUGCUUGUUGUCAUCUGUUUACCCCUAUGUAAUCACUUAAGUUGUUAUUAACUGCUGCAUGCUAAGCUGCAAGAGUGCACUGCGGACUGAGACAAAAUAUGGUCUACAAACCAGCAUUAUAUUAGUUUUUAUCAGAUAGUCCUCCAGUGUGUUUAGUUUUUGCUUUAAUUCUAUUGUGCAGUUAUUUGUUACCCUGAAAUGCUUUAUGCUUAACAACAGCUCACUAUUUUGACUUAUUUUUGAACUCUUGUGAUCAGUAUGACUAGAUUGUGUGAGUUUCCAUACUAAAAGAGCUGUAGUGAUAAAAUAAUUGGCAUCAGAG